RNAcentral lists this ribosomal RNA (511 nucleotides) under uncultured Actinomycetes bacterium. RNAcentral's name for it is "bacterial SSU rRNA". It matches the Rfam family "Bacterial small subunit ribosomal RNA", at positions 355 to 857 of the family's 1533-position model. Lineage: Bacteria; Bacillati; Actinomycetota; Actinomycetes. The record is from RNAcentral.
UGGGGAAUCUUGCGCAAUGGGCGAAAGCCUGACGCAGCGACGCCGCGUGCGGGAAGAAGGCCUUCGGGUUGUAAACCGCUUUCAGGAGGGACGAAGCCACUCGGGUUAAUAGCCCAGAGGGUGACGGUACCUCCAGAAGAAGCCCCGGCUAACUACGUGCCAGCAGCCGCGGUAAUACGUAGGGGGCUAGCGUUGUCCGGAUUUAUUGGGCGUAAAGAGCGCGUAGGCGGCCGAGUAAGUCCGACGUGAAAUCUGGAGGCUCAACCUCCAGCGGUCGUUGGAAACUACUCGGCUAGAGUCCGGAAGAGGAGAGUGGAAUUCCUGGUGUAGCGGUGAAAUGCGCAGAUAUCAGGAAGAACACCGAUGGCGAAAGCAGCUCUCUGCGACGGUACUGACGCUGAGGCGCGAAAGCGUGGGGAGCGGAACAGGAUUAGAUACCCUGGUAGUCCACGCCGUAAACGAUGGGUGCUAGGUGUGGGCGGUGUCGACUCCGCCCGUGCCGAAGCUAACG